RNAcentral lists this long non-coding RNA (1636 nucleotides) under Rhinopithecus bieti (black snub-nosed monkey). RNAcentral's name for it is "lncRNA (ENSRBIG00000046740.1)". The record is from RNAcentral. Lineage: Eukaryota; Metazoa; Chordata; Mammalia; Primates; Cercopithecidae.
GUCCAAACAAAAUGUGCUACUUCAGGAACAUUCUCUUCCUAUGUGGACUUUGCUGCUGAGUCAGUGUGGGACCUUGAAUAAGUCUCUGUUUGUUUUGUACCAUUCAGAUUUCCUCGUCUGUAAACAUUAAGCAUCUACAUUCCCUAAAAGCAGUUCUGAAUGAAUGUUAUUUAAUGGUGCCAAUGAUGUUGGAGACACCCUGUGCCCUAUUGGUUCCUGGGCUCGGACUGUUGAUGCAGCUAUUUCUAUUUGGUUAUGGACUCAAUCACUGCAGUCGCAAUCAAAAGAUGGCUUGCGUUGGAACCUGGAACCUGCUAAUCCUGUCGCGCAACCUGUGAUUUUGGAAGUGAAGGGGAAAAAAAAAGAAAAGAAAAAAGGGAAAAUUUCACAUAAAACUUCCAGAUGAGGAAGAAGAUGGAAACUUUUGUGUUGUGCAUUCUGUAACGUGUACUUUCAUAAGCAGAUGGCAAAGAAAGAAAGCCUGAGAAUCUGGCCCGACGUUUUCCUUUCAGAACCCUGCAUUUCCCACAUUGAGGAGAUACAGCACAUCCACUGCAUGGUAGACCCAGCUUGCUCUCACAGUCGUUGUGCAAAUAAACAUACAUGCGGCAAGGCAGUGCAGUUUUCAGUUGUUAAAAGUUGUGUCAUUCCACGAGAUGGAGCAUAGGACAAAUGAUGAUGUAAACAGGCAACAGGACUCUGACUCCACACCUCUCUCUGCACAGAGGAUGCUCAGUCCUUAUACCACAAAAUGUGAGGUGCUUCUGGCCACCUCCUGGCCCUGAUGCCUGAGCUCUGUGCUCACCCUGCUAGAGCUCCUGGCAGUUUUCUGAGCAGGUUGUACCUGUCCGGAGUGAUCAUCUCCACUUAAUGUUAGACAUUAAGUUCCCUGUGAAAUCUGUUUUGACUCACUGAGGUUACGAACACUUUAUCACAACUAUCAUCAUAUACUAUUAAAUCUCCAAUUUUCUUGUCUCUGUUACUAGACUGUGAGCUCCUUGAAGGCUGGACCUGGGUUUGGCACUGAGUGGCACUCAGCACAUACUUCUUGAAUAAGAGAAUGUAUGUACACAGUGGCAUGAAAUUGAUUUGGUUUUGUCGGUUUUCUUAAGUGCUCAAGUUGUAGACAGUUCAGUAAAAACUAUAAAGCGGUUACCCUGUAAACCAUGAGUACUAUUAAUUGGAACCGCCUUUCUUACAUAUCCACUUGUGUUUCUGUUAAUGUUUCCAAAAUAAAUAAAGAGCAGGCUAGAGGGAAAUCUCCAGUCCUUAGAAACCAUGGUACGAGAAUACAUCUGUAUUUGCACUCUGAGCGAGAGACUUCCUCUUGUUGUAUAUGUUUCAUCAAGAGAUCUGGGAAAAAUUAGCCUUGUACCAGGAUCUGAACUAUAGUUUGAAAGUGUUUAAUGGGUACCAAUGUUAAUGUCAUCAUUUUUGAACUAUAUACAGUACAUUUUAAACACUUUCCUUCCGUUCCAUUUUAUACUUUCAUUAUGUUUGCCAGCAUUGGGCAGUUGGUUGCAUUUAUUGAAGUUUGAAUAAAAAGAUCUAAGAUGAGUUACCCAAAAUACCUACUAAACACAUCUUGCAAGAUUGGUCAAUAAUAAUUUUUAUAUUAGAGACUCCUCUCUCUAUA